Long non-coding RNA from Oncorhynchus nerka (sockeye salmon), 745 nucleotides. RefSeq lists it as uncharacterized. Lineage: Eukaryota; Metazoa; Chordata; Actinopteri; Salmoniformes; Salmonidae. The transcript is spliced from 3 exons. The record is from RefSeq and is a predicted model, not a curated record.
CCCUCUGUUCCCCCUCAUGUCCUUGUUGGUGAUUGGUUAUUGUAUGUGUACGUCUGUACUGGUGUGCGGCAGGUUGUUACCCAUUGAUUUUUAUUCUGUUUUCCGGUGGGUUUUUGGUAAAUAAACUGCGCCGUUGGAAACACAGUUAUUUCUCUCCUGUGUCUGACUUCUCUGCCACCAGUUCACACCCUUACACAAGGUGUUCGCUGGACCGGGGAAGGCUCAAGGACUUAUGAAACGCUCGCCACAGGACAGCUAAAUGUGACAGACAACAAUGACCAUGUUGCUAUAGAAACAAAGUGACUUCAUCAGCCAGCAGCAACAGGUAAUUGAAAAGGUGUUGCUGUAGCUACAGAGUAGGAGAGUUCAGGCUAGUGUGAGAGGGGUGUUACUGUGCAGCAACAUGGAGAUGAGGUACCCAGGCUUCAAGCCUCGCCUGCAGCAUCGUCUGGUCCUGCAGGGCCCUCCGAGAGGUACCGCCCACAAAGCCCAGGUCACCAACUCAUUGGCCACUCCCAGGGAAUCAUUCUACUUGCCCCUCCCACCUACCCAACCUCGACUGGAGUUCUUGCACUGGGUGCAAGUGGAGAACAGCGAAGAGCAGGAGAAGAGGUGGAGGGAUAGGGCUGAGAGGGAGCAGCGUAAGCCCCAGAGGGAGGCCAGCCUGCCUCGCCUCUCUCUACCUCCUCCUUCCAGAAUGGGCCCCCAUACCUUGGCACGCUUCUUCUUCCAGUGGAGGGGGAGA